UUCAUGGAGAGUUUGAUCCUGGCUCAGGACAAACGCUGGCGGCGUGCUUAACACAUGCAAGUCGAACGAUGAAACGGAACGGAAAUUUUCGGAUGGAAGUUCUGUGGAUUAGUGGCGGACGGGUGAGUAAUGCAUGAAGAACCUGCCUUUCACAUAGGAAUAGCCUCGGGAAACCGGGAUUAAUACCAAAUGACACUCCGAGAUCGCAUGUUUUUGGGGUUAAAGAUUUUAUCGGUGAAAGAUGGCUUCAUGUCCCAUUAGCUGGUUGGUGAGGUAACGGCUCACCAAGGCGACGAUGGGUAGCCGGCCUGAGAGGGUGAACGGCCACAUUGGAACUGAGACACGGUCCAAACUCCUACGGGAGGCAGCAGUGGGGA
This 377-nucleotide ribosomal RNA is filed under the name Bacillus licheniformis. RNAcentral's name for it is "bacterial SSU rRNA". It matches the Rfam family "Bacterial small subunit ribosomal RNA", at positions 1 to 360 of the family's 1533-position model. The record is from RNAcentral. Lineage: Bacteria; Bacillati; Bacillota; Bacilli; Caryophanales; Bacillaceae.